CCCGCGACGUCGCGAGAAGUCCAC
This 24-nucleotide non-coding RNA is filed under the name Arabidopsis thaliana (thale cress). Lineage: Eukaryota; Viridiplantae; Streptophyta; Magnoliopsida; Brassicales; Brassicaceae. The record is from RNAcentral.